Molecule: ribosomal RNA, 506 nt
Filed under: uncultured Entrophospora
Lineage: Eukaryota; Fungi; Glomeromycota; Glomeromycetes; Entrophosporales; Entrophosporaceae
Description: SSU rRNA
Rfam family: Eukaryotic small subunit ribosomal RNA
Source: RNAcentral
CCAAUAGCGUAUAUUAAAGUUGUUGCAGUUAAAAAGCUCGUAGUUGAAUUUCGGGAUUGACGUGACGGUCGUGCCUUAAGGGGUAUGAACUGUCGCCGUUGAUUUCUCACCUUCUGGAGAAGCUCGAUGUCCUUAAUUGGAUGUCUUGUGGAACCAGGACCUUUACCUUGAAAAAAUUAGAGUGUUUAAAGCAGGCAUUUUGCUCGAAUACAUUAGCAUGGCAUAAUAGAAUAGGACGGCAUGGUUCUAUUUUGUUGGUUUCUAGGAUCACCGUAAUGAUUAAUAGGGAUAGUUGGGGGCAUUAGUAUUCAAUUGUCAGAGGUGAAAUGCUUGGAUUUAUUGAAGACUAACUACUGCGAAAGCAUUUGCCAAGGAUGUUUUCAUUAAUCAAGAACGAAAGUUAGGGGAUCGAAGACGAUCAGAUACCGUCGUAGUCUUAACCAUAAACUAUGCCGACUAGGAAUCAGACGAUGUUAAUUUUUUAAUGACUCGUUUGGCACCUUACG